AGAUUGAACGCUGGCGGCAUGCCUUACACAUGCAAGUCGAACGGCGGCACGGGAGCAAUCCUGGUGGCGAGUGGCGAACGGGUGAGUAAUACAUCGGAACGUGCCCAAUCGUGGGGGAUAACGCAGCGAAAGCUGUGCUAAUACCGCAUAAGAUCUACGGAUGAAAGCAGGGGAUCGCAAGACCUUGCGCGAAUGGAGCGGCCGAUGGCAGAUUAGGUAGUUGGUGAGGUAAAGGCUCACCAAGCCUUCGAUCUGUAGCUGGUCUGAGAGGACGACCAGCCACACUGGGACUGAGACACGGCCCAGACUCCGUACGGGAGGCAGCA
RNAcentral lists this ribosomal RNA (326 nucleotides) under uncultured soil bacterium. RNAcentral's name for it is "bacterial SSU rRNA". It matches the Rfam family "Bacterial small subunit ribosomal RNA", at positions 26 to 353 of the family's 1533-position model. The record is from RNAcentral.